UGGUCUUGACAUAGAAAGAACUUUCCAGAGAUGGAUUGGUGCCUGCUUGCAGGAGCUUUCAUACAGGUGCUGCACGGCUGUCGUCAGCUCGUGUCGUGAGAUGUUGGGUUAAGUCCCGCAACGAGCGCAACCCUCGUCGUUAGUUGCUAACAGUUCGGCUGAGAACUCUAACGAGACUGCCUACGCAAGUAGGAGGAAGGUGAGGACGACGUCAAGUCAUCAUGGCCCUUACGACCAGGGCUACACACGUGCUACAAUGGGGUAUACAAAGAGCAGCAAUACGGUGACGUGGAGCGAAUCUCAAAAAUGCCUCCCAGUUCGGAUUGUAGUCUGCAACUCGACUACAUGAAGUUGGAAUCGCUAGUAAUCGUAGAUCAGCUAUGCUACGGUAAAUACGUUCCCGGGUCU
RNAcentral lists this ribosomal RNA (408 nucleotides) under uncultured bacterium. RNAcentral's name for it is "bacterial SSU rRNA". It matches the Rfam family "Bacterial small subunit ribosomal RNA", at positions 976 to 1381 of the family's 1533-position model. The record is from RNAcentral.